ACUCCUACGGGAGGCAGCAGUGGGGAAUCUUGGACAAUGGGCGCAAGCCUGAUCCAGCCAUGCCGCGUGAGUGAAGAAGGCCUUAGGGUUGUAAAACUCUUUCGCCGGUGAAGAUAAUGACGGUAACCGGAGAAGAAGCCCCGGCUAACUUCGUGCCAGCAGCCGCGGUAAUACGAAGGGGGCUAGCGUUGUUCGGAAUUACUGGGCGUAAAGCGCACGUAGGCGGGUUUGUAAGUAGGGGGUGAAAUCCCAGGGCUCAACCCUGGAACUGCCUUCUAAACUGCAAGCCUGGAGGUCAGGAGAGGCGAGUGGAAUACCGAGUGUAGAGGUGAAAUUCGUAGAUAUUCGGUGGAACACCAGUGGCGAAGGCGACUCGCUGGACUGAUACUGACGCUGAGGUGCGAAAGCNGUGGGGAGCAAACAGGAUUAGAUACCCUGGUAGUC
This 444-nucleotide ribosomal RNA is filed under the name uncultured bacterium. Its description in RNAcentral is "bacterial SSU rRNA". It matches the Rfam family "Bacterial small subunit ribosomal RNA", at positions 335 to 795 of the family's 1533-position model. The record is from RNAcentral.